AGAGUUNGAUCCGGGCUCAGGGCCCACGGUAGCGGCGGGCCUAACACAAGCAAGUCGCACGGGAAAGGGCUUCGGGCCCGGUAGCCUGGCGUCCGGGGGAGUACACGUAGGGGAUCUACCCAGGAGUGGGGAAUUACGUUCCGUAAGGAACGGUAAUACCGCGUAGGACCACGACGGCUAUGGCCGACGAGGUCAAAGGUGGCCUCUAUUUAUAAGCUAUCGCUCCAGGAUGGCCCUGCGUCCCAUCAGCUAGUUGGUAGGGUAAUGGCCUACCAAGGCAUAGACGGGUAGCUGGUCUGAGAGGAUGAUCAGCCACACUGGCACUGAAACACGGGCCAGACUCCUACGGGAGGCAGCAGUGGGGUAUAUUGGUCAAUGGGCGCAAGCCUGAACCAGCCACGCCGCGUGAGUGAUGAAGGCUUUCGGGUUGUAAAGCUCUGUGGGGAGGGAAGAAAACGGCCGGUAAGAAACGACUGGUCCUUGACGGUACCUCCUUAGCAAGCACCGGCUAACUCUGUGCCAGCAGCCGCGGUAAUACAGAGGGUGCGAACGUUGCUCGGAAUUACUGGGCGUAAAGCGCGUGUAGGCGGGUUCGCAAGUCAGACGUGAAAUCCCCGGGCUCAACCCGGGCAACUGCGUCUGAUAACUGCAAGCCUUGAGUACCGGAGAGGGUGGCGGAAUUCCUGGUGUAGAGGUGAUAAUUCGUAGAUAUCAGGAGGUAACACCGGUGGCGAAGGCGGCCACCUGGACGGUAACUGACGCUGAGACGCGAAAGCGUGGGGAGCAAACAGGAUUAGAUACCNUGGUAGUC
Molecule: ribosomal RNA, 811 nt
Filed under: uncultured bacterium
Lineage: Bacteria
Description: bacterial SSU rRNA
Rfam family: Bacterial small subunit ribosomal RNA
Source: RNAcentral